CAAAAAAAGCAUAACCCUUUUCGUAUAAUCUCAAGAAUCGGCUUGAGAGUCUCUACUGGAUCACCGUAAAUGAUCAGGCUACGAGAAGAGUGGAACGGUGU
Molecule: non-coding RNA, 101 nt
Filed under: Paenibacillus sp.
Lineage: Bacteria; Bacillati; Bacillota; Bacilli; Caryophanales; Paenibacillaceae
Also listed under: 1 other name
Description: Guanine sequence
Rfam family: Purine riboswitch aptamer
About the family: Riboswitches are metabolite binding domains within certain messenger RNAs that serve as precision sensors for their corresponding targets. Allosteric rearrangement of mRNA structure is mediated by ligand binding, and this results in modulation of gene expression.
Source: RNAcentral